CUUUAAUUAGGAUAAUCAUCUGAGCUCUCAUUUCAAUGCAUAUAGCAAAUAUCAAGAGAUGCUUCUGGAUGCGAUAAGGUCGUUUCGAUCCUCAGUUAUGUCUAUAUGUAUAUAACUGACUUUCAGCUAUAUGUAUUUCCAGUAGUUUGGCAAAUUAGUUAUGUCAAUACUAGUAUUUUAUGUUCAUGUUCGUAGGAUAUGAAAGAUAAAACUCUAAAAUGGAUAUGAACCCACACAGACAUGAGAUUCACUGCGGGAGCCCCACAUCCAACAUAUUGCGGGCAAUAUCAGAAGUCGUCGCAGCCUCCAUUGCAAAAGAUCGUCGCAUCCUGCAAGAAAAACAAGAAAAAAUAUCAAUGAAAAGGAAUGGAAGGGAAGGACCCAAUAAUAUGCACAUUGGGGCUCGAGUCUCUGGCUGCGCAUUCUGGGUGGUGACAGACGACAGCUUUUGCAUCUUUUAUUGUAUGACUCACGCAGUUUGACAGUCCGCGUUAGAUAACUAGUUAUAACUAUAGUAGCACAGAAAAUCAACUCCAAGGAUUUAUCAACCUGUCUGCGACCCAUCUCCUUU
Molecule: long non-coding RNA, 571 nt
Organism: Brienomyrus brachyistius
Lineage: Eukaryota; Metazoa; Chordata; Actinopteri; Osteoglossiformes; Mormyridae
Exons: 3
Source: RefSeq, a predicted model, not a curated record